AAGACAAGGCGCAGGCAAACAAUGGAGCGGAUCAGUAUGAUGUAGACACUCUAGCGCAGCAGUCCACCCCAGAUGCUCUCAAGGAACUGGAGUCCAUCGACUCUGCUGUCAAGUGCCCAGCCUCAGUAAAUGUGCCAUAUGUAGUCAAGCUCCUCAAAGUGACAUUUGAAGAGAGGAAAGGCACCGUCUUGGACAAACUUCCAGUCUACUUCUUGAAUGCUGAAUGCAAUGCGAGCUGCACUUCGCCAUGAGUUUUACAAGCAUGAAAGGCGUGUGCACCAGCAUACUGGAGGGCUUCGGCAAGGAUCACGGGAUACGCCAAGCAACACUGAUGGACGUUCAAGCCUUUCUGCGGUCAAGAUCAUCCCGCGAUGAUGCUUUGAGCACGGAAGACGUUCCGACAGUUGAGAGAGGAUGCCCAGGACCGAAAGCCUUUCUGGGGUCCAAAACAAAGGAUAUUC
Molecule: long non-coding RNA, 461 nt
Organism: Ixodes scapularis (black-legged tick)
Lineage: Eukaryota; Metazoa; Arthropoda; Arachnida; Ixodida; Ixodidae
Exons: 4
Source: RefSeq, a predicted model, not a curated record